AGGCGAGCCGAGGCGAGCGGGGGACAGCGGCAGGACGCUGGACCUCGGUCACUCAGCGAGCUGCAGCGGCGAGAGAGGGUCUGCCUCGGCGACCCGACCCAAGCACCUGCUAUGGUUUUAGUUUACAUCUGUGCGCUACCCGCACAUAGUGCUUGGGUCUAAGUUUCCCGUCUUAUGACGGUGUGUGCCUUCGGGUCUAUUUCCCUAUGAGAUUAUUCGCCGUGAUGGCGUGUUCGCUUUGAGUCAACCGAUGUAGAACUAGGUUCUCAUUCUCACCGGCGGUCCGCCCCGUGAAGUCACAAGCAGUCUGACGUUUGUCGAUCUUUGCCGCCCGCCCCGCUGGGGCCGGGUCGGCUUGUUUUGUUGUGAAGCUCUCCUCUCCAUCGCCGCAUCGCUAAACACGUGUAAUGGUGAAAUUCACUGGGUUAUAAUUGCUGCAGAAGUCACAACCUCUUACUUGUGGCUGUACAAUUCACUCUUCAGCCCAGGUAGCUUGCUGUCUCAAUUUGAAAAGAAAUUCUUAAUUGCUGUUGCCCUUUUUUUGAGAAAUCUAUUUCCAGAAAUCAAGUAUUGGACUCCCAAGCGUUAUUUCGAUGAGCAGAAAGAUACUGUUAGUUGUGGAGUGCAUAUUUGCUGGUUUGCACAUAGUGUUAUCAAAAAUUCUAGUUUGGUCCCUUUACAAGAUGUAACAGAAUUUAAAAAACACAUAUAUGACUGUAUAGUACUUCUAAAAGAUUUGUAAUAAGCGUGUUCCUCACUUCACAAAUAUUUAUGUUGAAGAAUUAAUUAUCAUACUUUUAUAUGUCUUUCAAAUUUUUGUUCUUUGAUUAUUUUAGUUGGUUUUGUUUGGUAGUCUAUUGAAAUUUUAUUAAACCCCUAAAAAACUUGUUUGUGGGCAUGAAUUCUGUUUGUUCAGUUUUACCUAAUGCUAAUUUUUAACCAGGGGGAUGAGAUCUUCAGAUUAGUCUUUCAAUCAUGCCCUCAUUUUAAUGACAGUGUAAGGCAUCCUAAAAUUCUUGUUUAAUCGACAUUUCAGUGGUCUUUAUUAAAUAAGUUACUAUUUUACAUCUUCCAAUAAAACAGUCUUUACUCGACAA
This is a long non-coding RNA of Frankliniella occidentalis (western flower thrips), 1097 nucleotides long. RefSeq lists it as uncharacterized. Lineage: Eukaryota; Metazoa; Arthropoda; Insecta; Thysanoptera; Thripidae. The record is from RefSeq and is a predicted model, not a curated record. The transcript is spliced from 3 exons.